UUUGGUGUGGGGGACUUCACAACAGCCAAAGGUGAAAGGCAAUCCCAUGGUAGGAAACACCCAUCUUGUUUGAACGGGUGCAGGUUGUAGCUGUGGUGGUCUAAGGACACAGGCAGACGAGGCCCUUUGGGUAAAUCUGAUCUCUUUGAUUAAACCAACUCAAAUAGUUGGGACAAUUCUUCUUUGCCAGCUGUCGGGUAUAAACGCCCUUCGUCAGGCUGAGGAAGCAUCUGCAGUUGCUGCGUGCGCUUCCUGGAUGGACUGAAUAGUAAAGAAGCCAGAGGCUGGGCUGGACUGGGCUGGGG
This is a long non-coding RNA of Gavialis gangeticus (Gharial), 305 nucleotides long. RefSeq lists it as uncharacterized. The transcript is spliced from 3 exons. The record is from RefSeq and is a predicted model, not a curated record. Lineage: Eukaryota; Metazoa; Chordata; Crocodylia; Gavialidae.